UACGGAGGGGGCUAGCGUUGUUCGGAAUUACUGGGCGUAAAGCGCACGUAGGCGGCUUUGUAAGUUAGAGGUGAAAGCCCGGAGCUCAACUCCGGAAUUGCCUUUAAGACUGCAUCGCUUGAAUCAUGGAGAGGUGAGUGGAAUUCCGAGUGUAGAGGUGAAAUUCGUAGAUAUUCGGAAGAACACCAGUGGCGAAGGCGGCUCACUGGACUGGUAUUGACGCUGAGGUGCGAAAGCGUGGGGAGCAAACAGG
RNAcentral lists this ribosomal RNA (253 nucleotides) under uncultured bacterium. Its description in RNAcentral is "partial 16S ribosomal RNA". It matches the Rfam family "Bacterial small subunit ribosomal RNA", at positions 524 to 776 of the family's 1533-position model. The record is from RNAcentral.